This 497-nucleotide ribosomal RNA is filed under the name uncultured bacterium. RNAcentral describes it as "partial 16S ribosomal RNA". It matches the Rfam family "Bacterial small subunit ribosomal RNA", at positions 28 to 507 of the family's 1533-position model. The record is from RNAcentral.
GAUGAACGCUGGCGGCGUGCCUAAUACAUGCAAGUCGAGCGAACAGACGAGGAGCUUGCUCCUCUGACGUUAGCGGCGGACGGGUGAGUAACACGUGGAUAACCUACCUAUAAGACUGGGAUAACUUCGGGAAACCGGAGCUAAUACCGGAUAAUAUAUUGAACCGCAUGGUUCAAUAGUGAAAGACGGUUUUGCUGUCACUUAUAGAUGGAUCCGCGCCGCAUUAGCUAGUUGGUAAGGUAACGGCUUACCAAGGCAACGAUGCGUAGCCGUCCUGAGAGGGUGAUCGGCCACACUGGAACUGAGACACGGUCCAGACUCCUACGGGAGGCAGCAGUAGGGAAUCUUCCGCAAAGGGCGAAAGCCUGACGGAGCAACGCCGCGUGAGUGAUGAAGGUCUUCGGAUCGUAAAACUCUGUUAUUAGGGAAGAACAAAUGUGUAAGUAACUAUGCACGUCUUGACGGUACCUAAUCAGAAAGCCACGGCUAACUACGUG